GCCGCGGGGACGCCGCUGCCGCCAUGGGAACCUUCGACGCGGCCGUCUUCGGCCUGGACGCGGCGCCUGACCUCCGCCUCGCCGCGCACCAGUACAACCAGCUCCUCCACCUGCUCGCCUCCGCGGACGGCGCCGUCUUCCCCGUUCACCCGGCCACCGCCGCGCGCCGCGUGUUCGCCGGCAUGCUAGAGGCCAGGGCGCCCCCGUCCGAGGCCACCAUCACUUCGCUCGCCUGCAUCUUCGCUGCAGAUGCCGAGGGCGCCUACGAAGCCUUCAGGCUCCUCUCCUCCAUGGGGCAGAAGUACGGCCUCGCGCUGCGCCUCCGGUCCUACAGCCCCGUGCUUGCCGCGUUCCGGCGCGCCGGGGAGGCUGGCAAGGCAUACGCGGUCGAGGCCCACAUGGCGGCCUCCGUUGCAUCGCCGUAAGAUCCCGAGCUCGCGCCGCUCCUUGUGGUCAGCGCGAAGGCCAGGGACGCAGACAAGGCGUUUGAGUAUAUGCACAAGCUGGGUGCCGAAGCCUGAAGGGAUGCCGAGAAGUGCAUCGAGCUAGAUCCUACAUUCUCCAAGGGAUACAUCAGGAAAGGCACAAACCAGUUUUUCAUGAAAGAGUAUGACAAAGCAAUGGAAACUUAUCAGGAAGGCCUAAAGCAUGAGUGCAUGACCCGAGUAACCAGGAGCUGCUUGAUGGUGUAAAGAGAUAUAUUCAGCAGAUCAACAAGGCGAACAGAGGCAAACUUUACCCCAGAGGAACUGAAAGAGAGACAGGGCAAAGCUAUGCAGGACCCUGAAAUCCAGAACAUCCUGACGGACCAUGUGAUGCGGCAGGUGUUGAUUGAUUUCCAAGAGAAUCCAAGGGCUGCUCAGGACGUCUCGGGAGCAUGAACGCAACGGCUGUCGGGCUUGGGCAUCAUUGGGUUCAAUGAUUGGAGACGUGGCCGUUCGUCCCCGAUGGAUCUCCACCACCACGGCCUGAGAGAGCCUAGAGAAGGGAGGCUACGGACGAGCACCUGUAGGACGACCUGCCAUCACGGCCAGCGCUUGUCGACUCCGACAACAUCCAUGUGGUCAUAGUCGAAUCCUCCUGUCCUCUCGCGCCGUGUAUAUUCAGACUUAUUUGCGUGCGCCGUAGGUUGUAUGAACAUGGAGGUGCAGUCACCCGAGGUGCAGAAGCUCCAUCACCUACCUCUACCUCCUCCACUACGCUGACAAGUCGAGGACUCAAGGUGGGAUUGCGAGUGGAAAGAACACUUUGGCCGUGCGUUGCGAGUGGAAAGAAUACCAUGAUGUUGCGAGUGGACUCGAGGAAGUGCACGGGCCAAGAUAAGUGUUAGUUUGGAUGCUAAAGUUAUUGGGAUCUCAAGCAUUGCAAGAACACUCGCCCAGGAAGCUAUCUUCAUCCUUUAAUGUGGAUGUUGUAUUCACAUUUAAACUUCCCACAAUAGUGGUGGUGUGCACUGAUAUAACAUGUAAGUUCUCUUUCCUGUCUUUUUUUUUGUAUGUUAGUUUGGCUGCUAAACUGAUUUGCAGCUCAGGCAUAUAUAGCCUACUGCCUCAGGAAGCUCAAGAGAUACAUAUCACAGGUUAUCUUAGCAAGCUCUUCAUAAGAAAACUUCCCUGUUCAUAUUCAGAUUUCUUAAAGCUAUUUAAUUAUUUUUAAAAUUGUUGUUCAUGAGGGUGUAGGGGCAGGGCUAUCACACAUUUCUCAUUGUGUUGUGGAGUGGUCUCAUUUUCAUAAUAUAUUGUAAUGCAAUUCUCUAUACUGUUAGAUGUGCUACUGAGGUGCAAAUAUGUGGAAACUAAUAUUCCUCUCUCGCAUGAAGGUUGUUCAUUGAAAAAAUGGGCGGUCAUGUCCAUUGUAUUAUGAGGUUCGUAUUCAACAAAUUCUAAGAGGAAGGUAUUAUACCUUCAGCUACUAUCAUAUUUUGUAACAUUUUUUCCUACAUAAGCAUGUUGAAGAUGUUGAAGGCUCACUUCCACAUAAGGUACCACCUUUUGCCCUUGUCAUUCAACAUCAAUGCAUAGAAACUGUGUUAGUAACUUGGCAUGUAUCUUGAAGGGGUCUAUUGUUCGAGGUGUGAAAUAUCAGUCACAUGUGUUCACUCAAACCUUUUUUCCAUCAUAUCAUUUUUCAAAUUAUUAUGGAUAAUAUUUUGUUAUGAGAUCUUUUGGCAUGUUCCACAAUCUUCAUGGAUUAUAAUUAUGCUUUGGGUUUAUGUUUUUAACAUCUUUCAAGCUCAUUGCGUUUUCUGUAGCCAUAAAUGUACCAUACAACAACUACGACAAUUUAAUCAUUUUUGUAUGCAAUGGCAUCCAAUGGCGUCCUUUUAAUAGUAUGAUAUAUAUCAUAUAUACUGAAAUAGAUCGUCAGAUGGAAGGAUAAUCGGAUUGCAGUCAAUACAAUUUUGUGUUGGCUUGUUUCAAAUUGCAAGCCACACUCAUAAUUUUAUGAGCGCCAAAUGUGCCCAUGAAAAAGUAGCUGAGACAAAAUCCUCUCUUAAGCUAACAUGAUUUGCACAAUAAAAGCUAUAGUUUUGAAUUGAGGUACACUUCUCUAAUGCUAGCCAAUUUUUUACAGCUUAAGAGUUGAUUGCCAAAUAUUUCUUUUCUGGCUAUCAACACCAAAAUUUGACCAUAAUUGUUAAGGCUUAUUAUCUGUCAUGUAUGUUAGGAAGAUCUUUGACACUGCUAAAAAGACAAACACAAAUAAAACAUGUACGUGAAGUGGUCCCGUUUUUCUUCUACAGAUUAUAUACACCUUAAACUCUUCCGCUACUAACACUUGUAUAUGUCGGUCCAUGUCAAUUUAACCUACAUAUUUCAUUAAUUCCUACCAUUUUAUUGUCAAAAUGGACGGGCGCAGCAACGCGCGCCUUCAUGAUCUAGUGUCUAUUGAUUAUUACUGGAAUUGGUUCGACAAACUAUUUAUGUGACAAAUUUACAAAUAUACUGACCCAGCCUGAUAAUAUGACUAAUCCAUACAGUGGAUAUGUGCCAAUGCUCAAAUUUGAAAAAUGAAGGAUUCAACUUUUUUUGAAAUAUUAUGGGUGAAGUCGCGAGUAUGCCCAUCAAUCGUAAAAAUAUAUAGUUCGACUUAGUCAUAGGUUUUGUAGUAGUCUUGCCUUGCCGCUGCCUCUCCUCUCUGCUCCUUGCUGCCUGUGGCUGUCCCAUCUCUCUUAGCGAUGUUGCUGCUGCACUUCUUCUGAAGCUCUUCUCAAACCCGUUGUUGCAGUUCUCCUCUGAACUCCAACUUGUUGCCUCUCUCUCUCUCUCUCUCGCUCUCAAUUUUUCUGUAAUUCUGUGAACCACUCUCUCUCUCUCUCUCUCUCUCUCUCUCUCUCUCUCUCAAUUUCUCUGUAAUUCUGUGAACCAUUACUGUGCGAAAAUAUGAUUUGUGGUAUUUGCUUGAGUGAACCUGUAAGGUUUGUACCUUCUGCAAAGUGCUAGCACCUACAUAUUAUCCAACAUUUUCUUCUAAAUGUCAAGAGGCAUGAGCCACAAAUUUUCUCAAGAAUGACCCUUGGUAUAUAUAAGGCAUGCAUUCAAUUUUAAUAAUACUCUUUUGGCUCUCAUUUAUCUGUUGCCAUAGAGCAUCGUAUAAUAUAGAAGAGUCAAUCAAACAUAGCUCUUUGAAUAUCAGACAAAAUAUUGGUUGCCUGAUUUAUUUAUAAGAAGAUUCUUCUAUGUAUUUAGUUACAUGGUUUUAAUUUGAUCGUCUUCUUUCAACUUUUUUUUGCUGACUAUGAUAUUUCCUUAGGUUCACCUUGACCUUCACUGCCCGUGUAAGAGCUUAAGUAAAUUGAUGUUGUAUCAUCAGAAUCUGUAGCCCUGCACAGUUUUUUUUGUCUAUACAUACACUUCAAUUUCUUGCUUGCACUGAAAUCCCUCUUUGUCACAGGAUGAGUCAGAAACUGAAGAUGAUGAUCCCUUGGACACAGAAGAAGCUUCCUCUGUCCUCAUCGCUGCACUGCAGUCUUUCGGCCAAGCUCCGGUGAAUGACGACGAAGAAAAAGAUAUCGUGACAGAGGUAGAUGUCUUCUUGCGUCCUACUCUAAAUGACAGGGGCUCUCCUAUCAGCAAAAUAGCUACUCUGGAGGCGCAGAUGACGAUCGCAAGAGACCGUAUCUUGAGGAUAAGUGAAUGACUAUGAGGUCUACAUGUUAAGUAUAGAAACCUGACGUGGACAAGUGUGCGCUUUGCUGCCACUUCUUUGCCAGCCGGAGUGGCCUGUUUUCAGUGACGAUCAUGGAUCAUGGUGUACAUGCAUGUAUAUGUUGUGUCCUGAUAGACUGUACUACAAGAUUUUCUUGGAAUGGUUUGGUACUUCUGUUUUAUUAUGCUAUGAAGAGUGUA
Long non-coding RNA from Triticum dicoccoides, 4349 nucleotides. RefSeq lists it as uncharacterized. Lineage: Eukaryota; Viridiplantae; Streptophyta; Magnoliopsida; Poales; Poaceae. The transcript is spliced from 5 exons. The record is from RefSeq and is a predicted model, not a curated record.